This is a non-coding RNA of Hydrogenobaculum sp. Y04AAS1, 73 nucleotides long. The record is from Rfam. NCBI's taxonomy places the organism in Bacteria, Pseudomonadati, Aquificota, Aquificia, Aquificales, Aquificaceae.
GAGGAUGUAGCUCAACUGGCAGAGCGAGGGAUUGUGGAUCCCUAUGUCGCGGGUUCGACCCCCGUCAUCCUCC